Molecule: ribosomal RNA, 433 nt
Filed under: uncultured bacterium
Lineage: Bacteria
Description: partial 16S ribosomal RNA
Rfam family: Bacterial small subunit ribosomal RNA
Source: RNAcentral
AACGAACGCUGGCGGCAUGCCUAACACAUGCAAGUCGAACGAGACCUUCGGGUCUAGUGGCGCACGGGUGCGUAACGCGUGGGAACCUGCCCUUAGGUUCGGAAUAACUCCCCGAAAGGGGUGCUAAUACCGGAUAAUGUCUUCGGACCAAAGAUUUAUCGCCUUUGGAUGGGCCCGCGUUGGAUUAGCUAGUUGGUAGGGUAAAAGCCUACCAAGGCGACGAUCCAUAGCUGGUCUGAGAGGAUGAUCAGCCACACUGGGACUGAGACACGGCCCAGACUCCUACGGGAGGCAGCAGUGGGGAAUAUUGGACAAGGGGCGAAAGCCUGAUCCAGCAAUGCCGCGGGAGUGAUGAAGGCCUUAGGGUUGUAAAGCUCUUUUACCCGGGAUGAUAAUGACAGUACCGGGAGAAUAAGCUCCGGCUAACUCCGUG